CCCCCCUACCGCUGACUGCUGCUCAGACCUUCCAGUUCUUUCCCUUUGCAUUCCUGGGGGAGGGCCUGAUGGGCCCUGGUGAACCUCAGAGCCAGAGAGAAGGGAGUGGGCGCCUCUGCUGUGUCAGCAUUGGGUCAGGAGGGAUGGGCUCCAAGGAGGAGACUUGGGAAUAUUGGGUCUACGCCAUUCAUUGUGAAUCUGGAGAGCUCUGGUGGCUUCUCCUCCGUCAGGGAGAAUGAGAGUACGGUUAGAGUCACUGCCUCACGGCUUCGAGUCUAGCCCUGGCUUUGUACUGCGCCGAACCCGACGUGGUUCUCUUUUCAUGUUGACUCUCAUUUGGAUUUUCUCCACAGAUAGGGCAGGUAUUGCUUCUUUUCCCAUUUAGAGAUGUUUAGACUGAGGUUCUGAGAAGUUAAAGGAUUUAGCUGAAGUCAUGCAUCUAGAGAGCAAUAGAGCCAGGAUGGCUUGGCCCCCAGGAUCUUGCUCUGUAUCAGGAGAGCCCCUUCGGCCUUCACGUGGCCGGGCCUCUGCCUCCUCGGUUCCUUGUCCCUGCCAUCCCUGAAGAGUCUGCUGUCUUGAGAAACCUGGGAAUGGAAACAGGUCAGCGGGAGAUGACCUGGCCCCUCCCUGAAUCACACCCCAACCUUAAGCAACAGGGAUCCUUUCCCCAGACAAUUUUUGCAGUCCUCCUGUGCUUCUGGGGCUAUUUGUGGAAACUCCCUUCCUCUUCCUGACCAGUGGGUUGGGAUCUACUUUGUCCUAAAGGCCUUUCCAUAAUAUUUUCUACGAAAGUGUGAUUCUGUAGGGUUAGUCCAGUCCUGCUGCAUGUGGGGCCUAUCUCCUUUAGUUCAGUGUUUGGUGGAGGCAGAGAGGCCCGGGCGCCAUCCCUUUCAUGGGAGUAUGCUGCCAAGAAGGAAGCUGGGAUUUCCCAAUAGCUGGAAGAGGCCAUGGAGGAUGGGAGCUGGCUCAGUGCCUUGAAAAUAAAACAGGAUCAAUACAUGUAGAUAGACAUACAGUGGUGAGUGGGUGGAUAAAUACAUGGAAGAGGGUGAAUGAAUGCACAGGUGAGGGGGUGGGGGUUGGGGGCUGGCGGAGGGGGUCAUUAGCCCCUUUUACAGCUGUGUAAAGUGUGAGGGCAGACGCCUGUCCCUGAGGUCCCAGGUGGGACCAGCUUGAAGCAGGUGGCUUUGAGGCUGAGGGCUCAGGGAGGAAGCCCACAUGGGUAGCUGUCGGGACUACCUUCCACCCUCACACCAGCACCUGCAAAGUGUGCUGCUGC
RNAcentral lists this long non-coding RNA (1279 nucleotides) under Canis lupus familiaris (dog). RNAcentral describes it as "lncRNA (ENSCAFG00030000976.1)". The record is from RNAcentral. Lineage: Eukaryota; Metazoa; Chordata; Mammalia; Carnivora; Canidae.